GGGGAUGGCUGAGUCCCGGUGGAUUCCCCGGUCUUCAAAACCGGUGGCGGGCCGUUCUGCGGGCCGCGGUGGGUUCGACUCCCAUCCAUUCCCG
This 94-nucleotide transfer RNA is filed under the name Chloroflexota bacterium. RNAcentral's name for it is "Chloroflexi bacterium (anaerobic digester metagenome) tRNA-Sec". It matches the Rfam family "Selenocysteine transfer RNA". Lineage: Bacteria; Bacillati; Chloroflexota. The record is from RNAcentral.